Molecule: ribosomal RNA, 484 nt
Filed under: uncultured bacterium
Lineage: Bacteria
Description: partial 16S ribosomal RNA
Rfam family: Bacterial small subunit ribosomal RNA
Source: RNAcentral
AUUGAACGCUGGCGGCAGGCCUAACACAUGCAAGUCGAGCGGAUGAAGGGAGCUUGCUCCUGUAUUCAGCGGCGGACGGGUGGGUAAUGCCUAGGAAUCUGCCUGGUAGUGGGGGCUAACGUCCGGAAACGGGCGCUAAUAUCGCAUACGUCCUGAGGGUGAAAGUGGGGGUUCUUCGGACCUCACGCUAUUAGCUGAGCCUAGGUCGGAUUAGCUAGUUGGUGGGGUAAAGGCCUACCAAGGCGACGAUCCGUAACUGGUCUGAGAGGAUGAUCAGUCACACUGGAACUGAGACACGGUCCAGACUCCUACGGGAGGCAGCAGUGGGGAAUAUUGGACAAUGGGCGAAAGCCUGAUCCAGCCAUGCCGCGUGAGUGAAGAAGGUCUUCGGAUUGUAAAGCACUUUAAGUUGGGAGGAAAAGCAGUAAGAUAAUACAUUGCUGUUUUGACGGUACCAACAGAAUAAGCACCGGCUAACUUCGUG